This is a small nuclear RNA of Arvicola amphibius (Eurasian water vole), 184 nucleotides long. RefSeq annotates it as U2 spliceosomal RNA. The transcript has a single exon. Lineage: Eukaryota; Metazoa; Chordata; Mammalia; Rodentia; Cricetidae. The record is from RefSeq and is a predicted model, not a curated record.
AUUGCUUCUUGGGCUUUUGGCCAAGAUCAGGUGUAGCAUCUGUUCUUAUCAGUUUGCUAUGUGAUGUAUUAUCUCUCCAGGAACAAUAUAUUAUGUAUGUUUUUGGAAAAAGUAAAUAGAAUUGGAACAUGUUAUGCAUUCAGUACAUGUAUAGACCUGGUAUUGCAAGAAUAGUAAACUGUUA